AAGGAUCAUUAUCGAAUAAACUUGAAACAGGCUGUUUGCUGGCUCCCCACCUGGGAGCAUGUGCACGCUUGUCUCAUCUUUAUCUCUCCCAACUGUGCACAUUUUGUAGACCCUGGAGCUUUUUUUGAAUUUCAUUCGAGUCAGGACUUGCUGUGCUUUUCAAGUCGGCUUUUCCUUGCAAUUCUCCAGGUCUAUGUUUCACAACCUCUCAAAUGUGUUUUAGAAUGUUGUCGUACAUAUUUGAAAUAUACAACUUUCAGCAACGGAUCUCUUGGCUCUC
Molecule: unclassified non-coding RNA, 280 nt
Filed under: uncultured fungus
Lineage: Eukaryota; Fungi
Description: partial contains 18S rRNA, ITS1, 5.8S rRNA, ITS2 and 28S rRNA
Source: RNAcentral